ACGAACGCUGGCGGCGUGCUUAACACAUGCAAGUCGAACGGAAAGGCCCUGCUUUUGUGGGGUGCUCGAGUGGCGAACGGGUGAGUAACACGUGAGUAACCUGCCCUUGACUUUGGGAUAACUUCAGGAAACUGGGGCUAAUACCGGAUAGGAGCUCCUGCUGCAUGGUGGGGGUUGGAAAGUUUCGGCGGUUGGGGAUGGACUCGCGGCUUAUCAGCUUGUUGGUGGGGUAGUGGCUUACCAAGGCUUUGACGGGUAGCCGGCCUGAGAGGGUGACCGGCCACAUUGGGACUGAGAUACGGCCCAGACUCCUACGGGAGGCAGCAGCGGGGAAUAUUGCACAAUGGGCGGAAGCCUGAUGCAGCAACGCCGCGUGCGGGAUGACGGCCUUCGGGUUGUAAACCGCUUUCGCCUGUGACGAAGCGUGAGUGACGGUAAUGGGUAAAGAAGCACCGGCUAACUACGUG
RNAcentral lists this ribosomal RNA (467 nucleotides) under uncultured bacterium. Its description in RNAcentral is "partial 16S ribosomal RNA". It matches the Rfam family "Bacterial small subunit ribosomal RNA", at positions 29 to 507 of the family's 1533-position model. The record is from RNAcentral.